AAUCAGACUAGAGACCGGAGAAGUAUUCCCUGCUAGAUUUGCGGAUCAUGGACCAGAUCCUGAUAUUAGGGCUCUUGGUCACUGGUUUCAAUAUGAAGGUGUUCUGAACCUUUAUGAUAACAAGACGUCAACACUUUUCAUUCCUCAUUUCAACUUCACUCCAGAUAGGAAAAU
Molecule: long non-coding RNA, 174 nt
Organism: Eurytemora carolleeae
Lineage: Eukaryota; Metazoa; Arthropoda; Copepoda; Calanoida; Temoridae
Exons: 3
Source: RefSeq, a predicted model, not a curated record